Manis pentadactyla (Chinese pangolin) is the source of this 1717-nucleotide long non-coding RNA. RefSeq lists it as uncharacterized. Lineage: Eukaryota; Metazoa; Chordata; Mammalia; Pholidota; Manidae. The transcript has 3 exons. The record is from RefSeq and is a predicted model, not a curated record.
GGGCAAGAGUUGUGUCAAGACUUAUAGGCCUGUGGUCAGACCAAAAUAAUUAGAGUUACCAUGUGACAGGUCAUUUGCCACUGGCAUCCCAGGAAAUGAUGAGGCAGAUAAGUUGGCCCAGAUAUGUUGGUUAGAAGGAAAGCCUGCCUCUGAUGUAGCCUGCCAAUGGCUACAUCAGCAUUUGUUGCAUGUGGGGCAAAAGACAAUGUGGGCUGUAGCCCGUCGGUGGGGCUUGCCUUUGACCUUCGAAGAAGUUAGUAGAGCCCGCCAGGAGUGCGUUGUGUGCUCCAAAAGGGACUUACACCGACAGCAGCAUGGGGCAAUAGCUAAGGGGCCUAUACCCCUCGUCAGGUGGCAGAUAGACUAUAUUGGGCCUCUACCUGUGUCAGAAGGAUAUCGGUGUGCCAUGACUUGUGUGGACACAGCUACUGGACUUCUGGUUGCUUUUCCUACCCGUUGUGCAGACCAGCAGAUGACCAAAAGAGGCCUGGAGCACCCCUUUGCUGCCUAUAGUCGACCACAGGUAAUUGAGAGGGAUCAGGGCACCCAUUUUACUGGACAUGCACUGCAAGGAUGGGUGGACAGCUGGGAAUCAAGUGGAAGUUUCAUGUGCCAUACAAUCCUACCGCAGCAGGCAUGAUAGAGAAGCACAAUGGCUUGUUAAAAUCCUGACUAAAGUCAGAUACCAAUAGCCUGCGGGGAUGGUCAGUCUGCUUAUGGACUGUGCUAUGGCGUUUGAACGAGAGACCCUGAAAGGGAGCCCUGAGCCCCAUAGACAUGUUAACACAUAUGGCUGCCUCCCCUAUACAACUGCAAGUUCAAACCAAGGAAGAAUCACUGAAGCUGAGGUUCGGCCACCAGAAUAACAUCUUGCUGCCAGCACCAACUGCACUGAACCCCGGAGACUCCGUUGAGUGGACAUGGCCUUGGACCUUUUGACACAUGGACCAAUGAUGGCUGGCUCUCCUGGCACCUGGGGACAAGGCCUGGAAGCUGGCCUCCUGUGUAUUCCUGGAAUAACAGCAGAGUGGCUGCCAAAGGUCACAGUAGUAUAUCCUGAACGGCCAGAAGUGCAUCCCCAAGAGGCCGGCGGCUUCACAGCACGUGUGCUCUGCUGGGCUGUAUUUUCACUGUCAUAUUCUGCUGUGGCAGCUGUGCGUCGCCAUGCUGUCCUCCGUAGGCGACUCCCUGUGACCGGCGGUGAUGACCUAGGUAACUGGGCUGUAUGCUCACAUGACUACCCGCAGCCUGUUCACGACUGGCAACGAGGUUGACAUGGAUUAUCUGAUGCAAUCAAUGUUGUCACGUGAGCCCUUAAAAGCAAAGAGAUGUGGCAGAGGGGGAGGUCAGAGAGAUUGGAAGCAUCUUGCUGCAUCUUAAAGUGUCUCAUUCAAAGAAUGAGAAGGCUCGAUGUGCUGGCUUUGGUGAUGGAAGAGGCCUCCAGCAGAAGAAUGCAGGGGUCUCUAGGAAGUGAGAAUGACCCUGGCAACAUCUGGCAAGAAAUGGGGCCCUCAGCCCUAGCCCCAUGGCAGUGAAUUCUGCCAACCACCUGGGUGAUCCUGGCCAGGUUGCUGACACCUUGUGGCGCCCUGAGAUGAGAACCCAGCUGAGCCACUGGACUCCUGACCUCCAGGACUGAGAUAAUAAUAAAUGGGAGCUGUUUUAAGUUAAAUUUGGUAAUGUGUCACUGCAGCAAUAGGAAACAAGCUCUUUAUAU